GACGAACGCUGGCGGCGUGCUUAACACAUGCAAGUCGAACGGAAAGGCCCUGCUUUUGUGGGGUGCUCGAGUGGCGAACGGGUGAGUAACACGUGUGUAACCUGCCCUUGACUUUGGGAUAACUUCAGGAAACUGGGGCUAAUACCGGAUAGGAGCUCCUGCUGCAUGGUGGGGGUUGGAAAGUUUCGGCGGUUGGGGAUGGACUCGCGGCUUAUCCGCUUGUUGGUGGGGUAGUGGCUUACCAAGGCUUUGACGGGUAGCCGGCCUGAGAGGGUGACCGGCCACAUUGGGACUGAGAUACGGCCCAGACUCCUACGGGAGGCAGCAGGGGGGAAUAUUGCACAAUGGGCGGAAGCCUGAUGCAGCAACGCCGCGUGCGGGAUGACGGCCUUCGGGUUGUAAACCGCUGUCGCCUGUGACGAAGCGUGAGUGACGGUAAUGGGUAAAGAAGCACCGGCUAACUACGUG
This 468-nucleotide ribosomal RNA is filed under the name uncultured bacterium. RNAcentral's name for it is "partial 16S ribosomal RNA". It matches the Rfam family "Bacterial small subunit ribosomal RNA", at positions 28 to 507 of the family's 1533-position model. The record is from RNAcentral.